Molecule: long non-coding RNA, 347 nt
Filed under: Astyanax mexicanus (Mexican tetra)
Lineage: Eukaryota; Metazoa; Chordata; Actinopteri; Characiformes; Acestrorhamphidae
Description: lncRNA (ENSAMXG00005010528.1)
Source: RNAcentral
ACCAUAUGAAAUGCUGUUUCUGUGUAUCCUCCUCAGUGCAAACCUCAACGGCUCUUGUUUUGUACUGCUAGAUGGGGCCCGGAUUGUUCUGGAACUUUCCCUCCAAGACUAGCUGCACGGUUUCGCAGACCCUGCUGCAGACAAUGUUGCUCUCCAGGAUGGCUGGCAUGAAGGAGCAGCAGUUUAUUGAGGAAAAGCCAUUACUUCCUGAGACAAGAGGACAAGACACGGAGAUGGAGAACUGCGAGACCUUCGUGCCUGUAGGAGACUGGAAGGUAAUGGAAAUGUUAUGUUGUAAUAUUCUGUUAUGAAUCAAAUUCAGACUAUCUGAAAAAUGGGUAUAAGUA